GGUGCUCUUUAUGGUGUAAUGGUUAGCACUCUGGACUUUGAAUCCAGCGAUCCGGGUUCAAAUCCCGGUAGGACCU
RNAcentral lists this transfer RNA (76 nucleotides) under Phytophthora infestans (potato late blight agent). RNAcentral describes it as "tRNA-Gln". The stretch from base 10 to 70 matches the Rfam family "tRNA", at positions 6 to 65 of the family's 71-position model. Rfam says of the family: Transfer RNA (tRNA) molecules are approximately 80 nucleotides in length. Their secondary structure includes four short double-helical elements and three loops (D, anti-codon, and T loops). Lineage: Eukaryota; Oomycota; Peronosporomycetes; Peronosporales; Peronosporaceae. The record is from RNAcentral.